UACAGAGGUCUCAAGCGUUGUUCGGAAUUACUGGGCGUAAAGGGCGCGUAGGCGGCCAACUAAGUCCGACGUGAAAUCCCAAGGCUUAACCUUGGAACUGCGUCGGAUACUGGAUGGCUUGAAUUCGGGAGAGGGAUGCAGAAUUCCAGGUGUAGCGGUGAAAUGCGUAGAUAUCUGGAGGAAUACCGGUGGCGAAGGCGGCAUCCUGGACCGACAUUGACGCUGAAAGCCGAAAGCCAGGGGAGCAAACGGG
This 253-nucleotide ribosomal RNA is filed under the name uncultured bacterium. RNAcentral's name for it is "partial 16S ribosomal RNA". It matches the Rfam family "Bacterial small subunit ribosomal RNA", at positions 524 to 776 of the family's 1533-position model. The record is from RNAcentral.